UGGGGAAUUUUGGACAAUGGGGGAAACCCUGAUCCAGCCAUCCCGCGUGUGCGAUGAAGGCCUUCGGGUUGUAAAGCACUUUUGGCAGGAAAGAAACGUCAUGGGUUAAUACCCCGUGAAACUGACGGUACCUGCAGAAUAAGCACCGGCUAACUACGUGCCCGCAGCCGCGGCAAUACGUAGGGUGCAAGCGUUAAUCGGAAUUACUGGGCGUAAAGCGUGCGCAGGCGGUUCGGAAAGAAAGAUGUGAAAUCCCAGAGCUCAACUUUGGAACUGCAUUUUUAACUACCGGGCUAGAGGGUGUCAGAGGGAGGUGGAAUUCCGGGUGUAGCAGUGAAAUGCGUAGAUAUGCGAAGGAACACCGAUGGCGAAGGCAGCCUCCUGGGAUAACACUGACGCUAAUGCACGAAAGCGUGGGGAGCAAACAGG
This 429-nucleotide ribosomal RNA is filed under the name Acidobacteriota bacterium. RNAcentral describes it as "Acidobacteria bacterium partial 16S ribosomal RNA". It matches the Rfam family "Bacterial small subunit ribosomal RNA", at positions 355 to 776 of the family's 1533-position model. The record is from RNAcentral. Lineage: Bacteria; Pseudomonadati; Acidobacteriota.